UCUAGGGAUUUCCUUCUUGUAAAAUUAUUUGAAGAAUGUUUGUUCUUUGCAGCCAACUACAUUCUUUUGGUAUAGCAUUUGGUUUAUGCCAUGCGGUGCUGCCACAAAAGUUUCUGAAACGUAUUUGGAUGAAUGGAGGAGCUAGGGAUUACAGCAGUGAUACCUCACUCUUCAGGCUGGGAUGUAGGUGAUCCUUUGUAACUGAUUUCAAAAAAAAAAAAAGAAAACUUAUUUGUUAUGCCUUUGGAUAUUAACCUUGUGCCUAUAGAUCCUGAAACAUUAGAGGAAAUGCUGGGGAAAGGUAACAAAACUGGACUAUGUUCAUUUUUUUUUUUUGCAGUAUGCAAUAAAGAAACAAACUUAGGUGCAAAGUGACUUAUUUGAAAACAGAGAGAAAAAAUCUACAUGGAGGGAGAGUCUGAUGAUUUAAAACUUGGGCUAUCCAGAAAUAUAUUCUCUUCCCAGACCAGGAAGUCUGCAGUUUCCCUGGCUAGGAACAUCACCUAUGAUUUGAAACAUUUAGCGUUAGAACAGUUUAAUUUUGUGCCUUAAACUGAAAUUAGUGCUGGCAAUGGCCAUUGAAUUGGGUAUUUUUUUAGGAGAUAAGUUUGGGAAAGGACAAAACCUAACCUUUUUGGCUUCUCUUACGUACCUUCCUUUGAGCAUCCUGUGUUCCAUCUAAGGGGCAGAACUGUAUGUGAUAAAUUCAAUUUGGGGUCAUCUUUUCAAUUGCCUAUGGCAUAGGCCAUUACACUGAGGAUGGUAGAAUAGACAAGAUUACAACCCUGUGCCUGUGAAACACUAGAGUAUCCAGAGUCCUAGAAGGACCCUAAAGCGACAAGGCCAUAGAUUUGACUAGAUUCAGCCACAAUAGAAGCAUCCUGAAUUUUUAUCAGAAAUCUGUAUCCAUAGAAAUGGUAAUCCUGGUAGCAGUCUGAGACUGUUCAAUCCCUAAGGCAAGUUCUCAGGCUUUCCACUACAGAGAAAAUGAGCUGAUAACUGUAUGGCUCCCAGAAAAGGCAUUCUCUACAAUACUUUUCUCAGUAUGGCCAUGGAGUAACAUGAACAAGAGAAAGCCUUUCAGAAAGCAGAAACUUUGGCUAUCCAGGAACAUGUUUUCUUCCCAAACCUGGAAGCCUUCAAUUUAUCUUGGUAGCAUCAUCGACUUAUGAGAGAGGUAUGGGCCAGGGAUGAAUUUGAAUUGCUUUUCAUUUACCCCUUUUCUGGCAUCGUUUUUGCCAUGGUUGACAUUGUGUUUUUUCUCUACCACUGAUUGACGUGUGAAUGUGAAGAGUUAGCUACCUUACUAUUUAGUUACAGUUCCCUGGGGUCUUUAGUUACAGACCCCAGAUCUUUGAGAUGAGAAACUGGUGCUCUGACUGUAAAGAACUUGAAGCUCGAAAUAGAUGUAGUCAUUUUUAGACAUGAGUCAGCCCUUGUGAUUUAGUAUUUUCUGUUACUCAAAACAUAAAGACUUUUCUUUUUUAGA
This is a long non-coding RNA of Sapajus apella (tufted capuchin), 1489 nucleotides long. RefSeq lists it as uncharacterized. The record is from RefSeq and is a predicted model, not a curated record. The transcript has 3 exons. Lineage: Eukaryota; Metazoa; Chordata; Mammalia; Primates; Cebidae.